AGGGAACGCGGGCGGUAGGCCUAACACAUGCAAGUCGAACGGCAGCACAGUAAGAGCUUGCUCUUACGGGUGGCGAGUGGCGGACGGGAGGAAUACAUCGGAAUCUACUUUUUCGUGGGGGAUAACGUAGGGAAACUUACGCUAAUACCGCAUACGACCUACGGGUGAAAGCAGGGGAUCUUCGGACCUUGCGCGAUUGAAUGAGCCGAUGUCGGAUUAGCUAGUUGGCGGGGUAAAGGCCCACCAAGGCGACGAUCCGUAGCUGGUCUGAGAGGAUGAUCAGCCACACUGGAACUGAGACACGGUCCAGACUCCUACGGGAGGCAGCAGUGGGGAAUAUUGGACAAUGGGCGCAAGCCUGAUCCAGCCAUACCGCGUGGGUGAAGAAGGCCUUCGGGUUGUAAAGCCCUUUUGUUGGGAAAGAAAAGCAGCAGGUUAAUACCCCGCUGUUCUGACGGUACCCAAAGAAUAAGCACCGGCUAACUUCGUG
Molecule: ribosomal RNA, 490 nt
Filed under: uncultured bacterium
Lineage: Bacteria
Description: partial 16S ribosomal RNA
Rfam family: Bacterial small subunit ribosomal RNA
Source: RNAcentral